RNAcentral lists this RNase P RNA (453 nucleotides) under Oligoflexales bacterium. RNAcentral's name for it is "RNase P RNA component class A". It matches the Rfam family "Bacterial RNase P class A". From Rfam's summary of the family: Ribonuclease P (RNase P) is a ubiquitous endoribonuclease, found in archaea, bacteria and eukarya as well as chloroplasts and mitochondria. Its best characterised activity is the generation of mature 5'-ends of tRNAs by cleaving the 5'-leader elements of precursor-tRNAs. Lineage: Bacteria; Pseudomonadati; Bdellovibrionota; Oligoflexia; Oligoflexales. The record is from RNAcentral.
GAGGGCUGACGGAAUGUCGCGGGUCACUUUUUGUGAUCGGAGGAAAGUCCGGACUUCACAGGGCAGGGUGCUGGUUAACGACCAGGCGAGGCAACUCGACGGCAAGUGCAACAGAAAGCAAACCGCCUUUAUUGGUAGUGCAAACUCCGAUUUAGGUAAGGAUGAAACGGUGAGGUAAGAGCUCACCAGCAGUUUGGUGACAAGCUGGCUAGGUAAACCCCACCCGAAGCAAGGCCAAAUAGAGGAAUGGAGUCGCUCAUCGGCUCGACGUUGGCUCCGACGGAUUCCUGGGUAGGCUGCUUGAGGAUGCUGGUAACAGUUAUUCCAGAUGAAUGACAUUCACCUCCAGUUUCGCAAGCUCUUGAGAAAGAUGUUUUUAUGAAAGUAAAAAUAACUUCUCAUUUGAAAGCGAACAAUGGGGAACAGAAUCCGGCUUACAGUUGGCCCUCAAGA